ACUCAAAUGAAUAGACGGGGGCCCGCACAAGCGGUGGAGCAUGUGGUUUAAUUCGACGCAACGCGAAGAACCUUACCUGGGCUCGAAAUGUUAUGGACCGCGGUAGAAAUAUCGCUUUCCCGCAAGGGACCGUAAUAUAGGUGCUGCAUGGCUGUCGUCAGCUCGUGUCGUGAGAUGUUGGGUUAAGUCCCGCAACGAGCGCAACCCUUACCUCCAGUUGCUACCAUUUAGUUGAGCACUCUGGCGGAACCGCCUCGGAUAACGGGGAGGAAGGUGGGGAUGACGUCAAGUCCUCAUGGCCUUUAUGUCCAGGGCUACACACGUGCUACAAUGGCCGGUACAAACCGUCGCAAACCCGUGAGGGGGAGCUAAUCGGAGAAAGCCGGCCUCAGUUCGGAUCGCAGUCUGCAACUCGACUGCGUGAAGCUGGAAUCGCUAGUAAUCGCGGAUCAGAAUGCCGCGGUGAAUACGUUCCCGGGCCUUGCACACACCGCCCGU
RNAcentral lists this ribosomal RNA (498 nucleotides) under uncultured bacterium. RNAcentral describes it as "partial 16S ribosomal RNA". It matches the Rfam family "Bacterial small subunit ribosomal RNA", at positions 899 to 1397 of the family's 1533-position model. The record is from RNAcentral.